UAUUGGAGUACAACUUUGAGCGGUGGAUCACUCGGCUCGUGCGUCGAUGAAGAGUGCAGCCAACUGUGUGAAUUAAUG
RNAcentral lists this ribosomal RNA (78 nucleotides) under Trichobilharzia cf. regenti T39. RNAcentral describes it as "partial 5.8S ribosomal RNA". The stretch from base 12 to 78 matches the Rfam family "5.8S ribosomal RNA", at positions 1 to 67 of the family's 154-position model. From Rfam's summary of the family: 5.8S ribosomal RNA (5.8S rRNA) is a component of the large subunit of the eukaryotic ribosome. It is transcribed by RNA polymerase I as part of the 45S precursor that also contains 18S and 28S rRNA. RNAcentral also lists the same sequence under 1 other name. Lineage: Eukaryota; Metazoa; Platyhelminthes; Trematoda; Strigeidida; Schistosomatidae. The record is from RNAcentral.